CGGCCUUGAAAUACCACCCUUUAAUGUUUGAUGUUCUAACGUGGACCCGUGAUCCGGGUUGCGGACAGUGUCUGGUGGGUAGUUUGACUGGGGCGGUCUCCUCCUAAAGAGUAACGGAGGAGCACGAAGGUUGGCUAAUCCUGGUCGGACAUCAGGAGGUUAGUGCAAUGGCAUAAGCCAGCUUGACUGCGAGCGUGACGGCGCGAGCAGGUGCGAAAGCAGGUCAUAGUGAUCCGGUGGUUCUGAAUGGAAGGGCCAUCGCUCAACGGAUAAAAGGUACUCCGGGGAUAACAGGCUGAUACCGCCCAAGAGUUCAUAUCGACGGCGGUGUUUGGCACCUCGAUGUCGGCUCAUCACAUCCUGGGGCUGAAGUAGGUCCCAAGGGUAUGGCUGUUCGCCAUUUAAAGUGGUACGCGAGCUGGGUUUAGAACGUCGUGAGACAGUUCGGUCCCUAUCUGCCGUGGGCGCUGGAGAACUGAGGGGGGCUGCUCCUAGUACGAGAGGACCGGAGUGGACGCAUCACUGGUGUUCGGGUUGUCAUGCCAAUGGCACUGCCCGGUAGCUAAAUGCGGAAGAGAUAAGUGCUGAAAGCAUCUAAGCACGAAACUUGCCCCGAGAUG
RNAcentral lists this ribosomal RNA (620 nucleotides) under Shigella sonnei. RNAcentral's name for it is "partial 23S ribosomal RNA". It matches the Rfam family "Bacterial large subunit ribosomal RNA", at positions 2187 to 2806 of the family's 2925-position model. The record is from RNAcentral. Lineage: Bacteria; Pseudomonadati; Pseudomonadota; Gammaproteobacteria; Enterobacterales; Enterobacteriaceae.